UGACACAGCCGCACAUUUCAUAAAGUAUAGACCUAGGGGCUAGGGAACAUGCAAGGCCUACUAGAUAAAUUUUACAACAUAGAUUAUUACUUCUAAGAUAAAAACAAAUUUACUCAAUAGUAACUACAAGCCAAAUACAAAUAUAUGAUUAUCCAACGGUACUAGAUAUAUUUAUUUAUAUCUCACUAGCAGACCAAAC
This 199-nucleotide long non-coding RNA is filed under the name Elaeis guineensis (African oil palm). RNAcentral describes it as "long non-coding RNA (EGUI_LNC005776)". Lineage: Eukaryota; Viridiplantae; Streptophyta; Magnoliopsida; Arecales; Arecaceae. The record is from RNAcentral.